UCUGGUGCCGAUGCGCUUAGGGGAGACACCCGUUCCCAUCCCGAACACGAUGGUUAAGACUUAAGCGGCCGAUGGUACUAUGCUGGAGACGGCAUGGGAGAGCAGGUGGGUGCCAGAU
Dysgonomonas wimpennyi is the source of this 118-nucleotide non-coding RNA. Lineage: Bacteria; Pseudomonadati; Bacteroidota; Bacteroidia; Bacteroidales; Dysgonomonadaceae. The record is from Rfam.